GUCAUUUUAGUUGAGGUGAUGCUUAAAUAAUCUGGGUUUUUUUUACGAUGGAUAGUUGUUUAUCUGCAAAUCUAAUAGUUUGAUAGGCCUCUGCGCAUUAUGAUGAUAGGUUGCCUCAAAUGAUUCAAAUUUACAUCAAAUGAGGCAUACAGGAGGCCGUUGGAUGGGCAUUAGGUUUCCUUGUGUUGGGAGGAGGUAGUGUCGAUCCCGCUUCUGGGGAAUUGAUUUGGGUACCUUUUGAAGUUUGGUUCUCAUAUAUUGGUCCUGAAAGAUAUUUUUGUGCAAGUGGCCAAUUGAUGUUACGCUUAUUUGAAAGCCAAGCCUGGUGUGCCUGCACUGCAAUAAUCAGAGCUGGAAUCAGUGAGUGGGGCUUUCAACAUGAUUACGGGGUUGCAUCUAGCUCCACAAGCCACCUUUAUCACAUCCUUUUAAGACCUGAAUGCGAUGUAGUACUACAUUACAAGGGUCAUUCAGGUAGGUGGUGUCAGUUCUUGAUUGUGUAUGACUGAUUAUGCCAAGGUAUUUAAUCUACCGUUUUUUCACUCGAUAGAGGUUUCCUAGGAUACUCAAUCUCUGCAUGUGUUAUACGCGUCGGCCAACUUUGUGUUCGCCGAUGACCAGUACCUCCGCGGCAUUAGAUAAUUUUUCCAGCGUAUAGAUUUUAGUAGACAAAACGAAUGUUGUUAUGAAAGAUUUUUCAGACCAGAAAACACAUAAGAGCCUGCGAGAGCAAGGGGAACCAGUAUGCAUCUUGUUUGGAAUGCAUUUGGCCAGCUGCCAUGGAUGUGGUAUGGUGGCAUUACAAAAAUUUCUAUUUUCUUCAUGUUGGGUAGUGUGCUGUAUAACACCUCAGCUUUCUUGUUUCUUCAUGUUGUGUAGUUCUACAAAGGAAAAUGAUAAAUUAGUGUACUUGUUUCUUUCUGUCAUUUAAUUGAGGAGAUGCUUAAAUUAUCUGGCACUGUUUGAAAUACUACAGAAAUAGAUGCAUGUAUAUUUACCUUUGCAGCACUUGUAUUUAUGAUACACACAUGUUGUAUUUUCCAUAGAUAAAGCACCUUUAUUUGUCUACUUCACCGUUUGAUUUACACUCAUUCACAACACAGUACACCAUGUGAUUUUCGGUGAGUUUCACACUCACAUCCAUAGUUGAUUC
Lolium perenne is the source of this 1153-nucleotide long non-coding RNA. RefSeq lists it as uncharacterized. Lineage: Eukaryota; Viridiplantae; Streptophyta; Magnoliopsida; Poales; Poaceae. The record is from RefSeq and is a predicted model, not a curated record.